This 505-nucleotide ribosomal RNA is filed under the name Rhabdomiris striatellus. RNAcentral's name for it is "SSU rRNA". It matches the Rfam family "Eukaryotic small subunit ribosomal RNA", at positions 1211 to 1730 of the family's 1831-position model. The record is from RNAcentral. Lineage: Eukaryota; Metazoa; Arthropoda; Insecta; Hemiptera; Miridae.
AACCUCACCAGGCCAGGACAUUGGAAGGAUUGACAGAUUGAUAGCUCUUUCUUGAUUCAGUGGGUAGUGGUGCAUGGCCGUUCUUAGUUGGUGGAUCGAUUUGUCUGGUUAAUUCCGAUAACGAACGAGACUCUAGCCUAUUAACUAGGCGUUUUCCGGUGUCCCCGCCACCGGCGACAAUCAUUCUUCUUAAGGGGACAGGCGGCUUAUAGCCGCACGAGAUUGAGCAAUAACAGGUCUGUGAUGCCCUUAGAUGUCCUGGGCCGCACGCGCGCUACACUGAAGGAAUCAGCGUGUGCCUCCCUGGCCGAAAGGCCCGGGUAAUCCGCUGAACCUCCUGCGUGCUAGGAAUUGGGGCUUGCAAUUGUUCCCCAUGAACGAGGAAUUCCCAGUAAGCGCGAGUCAUAAGCUCGCGUUGAUUACGUCCCUGCCCUUUGUACACACCGCCCGUCGCUACUACCGAUUGAAUGAUUUAGUGAGGUCUUCGGACUGGCGGUAAUCCCUG